CACGUAUGCAACCUACCUGUAACAGGAGUAUAGCUCGGGGAAACUCGAAUUAACCCUCCAUAAGAUUGUGCUUUGGCAUCAGAGAGCAAUUAAAACUGAGGUGGUUACAGAUGGGCAUGCGUCUGAUUAGUUAGUUGGCGGGGUAACGGCCCACCAAGACGAUGAUCAGUAGGGGAACUGAGAGGUUGAUCCCCACACUGGCACUGAGAUACGGGCCAG
Molecule: ribosomal RNA, 219 nt
Filed under: uncultured bacterium
Lineage: Bacteria
Description: partial 16S ribosomal RNA
Rfam family: Bacterial small subunit ribosomal RNA
Source: RNAcentral